UAUUGAUCUGUCUGCACAAGC
Molecule: non-coding RNA, 21 nt
Filed under: Rattus norvegicus (Norway rat)
Lineage: Eukaryota; Metazoa; Chordata; Mammalia; Rodentia; Muridae
Source: RNAcentral